AUGGGAAGGCGGCGAAGGAGGGGGAGCGGGGUCAGAUGGCUGGGCCACUACUCCUCGGCGCAGAGCAUCCUGGUCGUCGGCGACGGGGACUUCUCCUUCUCGCUGGCGCUCGCCGCCGCGUUCGGCUCCGGGGAGAACAUCGUCGCGACGUCGCUGGGCUCCUAUGAAGCUCUGAUAUGCAAGUAUAGCAAAGCAGAGACAAAUGUAAUGAAGGUGGAGAGAAGGGGGGCCACAGUUCUUCAUCGCAUCAAUGCAAAUAAUAUGUCUGGUCACACUUAUCUGAAGUUUAGACAGUUUGAUCGGAUUGUCUUUAAUUUUCCUCAUGCUGGCUUCAAGGGAAAAGAGGAAGACAUGCGUAUGGUCAACUCGCACAGGAAGCUUGUCAAGGGGUUCUUUGGUAACGCGCGACGCCUGCUUCAGCCUUACGGUGAAAUCCACAUCAGCCACAAGAUGGGAUAUCCUUACGAUGCGUGGGAUCUCAAGCGACUGGCCUCGGAGUCGUUUCUUGAUAUGAUUCGGAUAGUUGGUUUCCACAAACACGACUACCCCGGCUAUAACCAGAAGAAAGGAGAUGGCCCAAGGUGCAACGAGCCAUUUUACCUAGGUGUCUCCUGCACAUUUAAGUUCUGCCUGAUGUACUCCUACUAA
Molecule: ribosomal RNA, 648 nt
Filed under: Triticum aestivum (bread wheat)
Lineage: Eukaryota; Viridiplantae; Streptophyta; Magnoliopsida; Poales; Poaceae
Description: partial small subunit ribosomal RNA
Source: RNAcentral